Molecule: long non-coding RNA, 3317 nt
Organism: Microtus ochrogaster (prairie vole)
Lineage: Eukaryota; Metazoa; Chordata; Mammalia; Rodentia; Cricetidae
Gene: Rab42
Exons: 2
Source: RefSeq, a predicted model, not a curated record
GUCCAGGCUGGCCUCGAACUCACAGCGGUCCCAUCUGCCUCUGCCUCCUGAGCACUAGGAUUAAGCACAUACCUACCAUGUCCCUCUAUUUAUGUGUAUGUGUGAAUGCCUGCUUGUCUAUCUGUGUACCAUGAGCAUGCAGUACCAAGGGCUCAGGAGAGGGCAUCAGACUGGAGUUGCAAGCAACCUUGUGGGAGGUGGAAGUCAAGCCAGGGCCCUCUGGCCAUCUUUCCAGUUCCUGUAUACCAAUAGUGAAUAAACAGAAUCUCUCUGGAUUUAUUUUUUGAGGGGUGAGGGUUGGGGUCCAAGUUUUAUCCAGCAACUCCAACAAACAGGCAGGUAUGGUAAUGUAUAUCUGUAAUCUCAGCCGCUCAGGAGGCUGAGGCAGGAAGAUUGUGAGUUCGAGGCCAGCCUGGGCUACAGAGGGAGACUCUUUCUCCCAAGACCAAUGUGUGGGAUGGAUCUUAGUGGCACAGCACCCACAUAGCAUGAGCAAGAAUUUGAUUCCUAGUACUGCAAAUAAACAAACAAAUAAAUAGGGGCUGGAGAGUUGGCUCAGUGGUUAAGAGCACUAACUGCCCUUCCAUAGGAUCCAGGUUCAAUUCCCAGCACCCACAUGACCGCUCACAACUGUUUGUAAGUCCAGUUCCACUCUCACACAGACAUAUGUACAGGCAAAACACCAAUGCACAUGAAACAAAAUUAAAUAAAAGCUUAAAAAAUGCCGUUAGAGCCUUUGGCAGGCCCAAACAGCACAAAAUAAUCAUCAUCAUCAUCACCAUCACCAUCAUCAUCAUCAUCAUCUAAAAUAAAGCAACAGAAAUCUAACAAGAAAUCUUAAAACAAAAUAUCCUAGAUCAAAUUCCUCAUCUUGGUUCAUCUCCAAAUAAUUUGCCAUUACCAGCUAUGAACAAGUAACCGGUCCCACGGUGACGUCUUCACCCUGCAUGCCCAUGGUACAAAGGCCCAUACAUUACAGUUUUAAAACUAUUUACUUAUAUUCUGGUCUGUCUGCUUCUCUCCCUCCACCUUUAUGUGAGUUCUAUGACUGAACUUAGGUUGGCAGGCUUGCAUGGCAAACAAAGAGCCAUACGGCCGGGCCUCAAUACCUUUUGGGAAACACCUCGCUCCCGUGGAUGGCGACCACUGCUCUACAGAGACACCCAGCUUCCAGUUCCCGUCAACAUUUUUGGAGAAAUGAUUGAUGCUGACAUCCCCCAACUCCACCUUCUACAUAGCCCAGGGUGCCUUUCCCACUUCCCUUCAGUUGUGUGAUUGUAAUUUUUCCUGAUGUCAGUCACUCUAGGCAGAGCACCAAGGACAGAAACAAUUCCACCCAAGUCUCUCUUGGUGAACGAAUGAGUUUAUUGGAUUUACGUACAGGAGCAUGGGUGACCCCCAAACAGCUGUAUCACUGAAAAGUCCCACCCCAACAUGAUGACAGGGAUGGGGUUCCUCUGAAGUUGGCUGUGCACACUUUGUAUUCUCCGGCUGCCUCGAGACCACACGUGGCUGGGGCAGGGUUACGUGCAGCUUGCCGGGCAGCAGAUUGGAGUCCUAGAUGAAGGCCCAUUAGCCCUCCUCACCCCUUCCUUCCGAGGGAACAGUAACAGACAUGAUCUUAGGAGAGGCUCUUGCAGAUAGCCACCGCUGCUCUAAGUGAGGUGGUGAUAGACAGCCUGCAAGGCUAGCAGUGCACACCUCCAACCCCAGCACUUGGGAGAGGGAGGCAAUUGGAUCCUUAGUUCUGUAACAAGUUUAGUCAUCAGCCUGGGCUGCAGGAGAUCCUGUCUCAGAGGAUGAAACAAGGCUGGCAGUAAGCUAGUUAUCGCCAGCUUGCUGCUCCUUGCGGUGUAUUCAAUAAACCUGGUUUUUCCUUCAGGAUAAUAAUGACCAAACAGUCAAGACGGCAACCAGGGCUGGGGAGACAGCUGGGUGCUUGUCUCAAAGGCGUGGGGACCUGAGUUUGAUGGCCAGAAUCUAUAUAAGAUGCUGGACGUGGUGGUACAUACUUGCAAUUCCAGUGCUCGGGAGAGGGAGACGGCAAAAUUCCUGGGGCUCAUUGGUGAGACAGUCUAGCCUAACUGGUAAGUUCAAGUUCAAGGAGAGACCCAGUCUCAAAGUGGGGAGACGACAUUCCUGAGGAUGGCACCUGAGAUUUCCCUUUGGCCUCCACUCACACAGGUGUGUGUAUGUUCACGUGUGAGCACAGACACAUACACACAAAUAUGCAUACAUACACAAAUGUACCAACCAUGUUCUACUUAGAAGAUGAUGUUCCACAAUGCCCCUCCAAUACCUUUUCCACAUUGCAACAGGAUCAGAGAGGCAGGAUGGGCUCUAUCAUCUUGUCUAAUGCAAUCCUUCCCAAGUCUCAACAGGUAAAAAAAGACACUGAUCAGUGAAUGUUGUAGGAAACCAAGAAUGGCCUGCUGCCAACACAGCUCACUGGAGCAAGGCUCCAAAUGCCCGAGAUGCCGGGAUGAAGCCACACUGAGUCUGAGGACUGUCCACCCCAUGCUCCUUUCUUCUGUGCUCUCUUCCAAUCCUGCAACUGACACAGGUCUCAAGAUUCCUUCAAGCUUCCUUCUUGGCUGCUGGAGUCAGGGCCUUGUCCCUGUCAGGGCGCAGUGUGAGCCUUCUGCUGUCUGUCAUCACUGACAGAGCAUCCUUUGAGAGCAUCUCCCAGUGGCAGCAGGCUCUGGGAAGACCAAAUCCUCCAACAUCCUCCUCCUGGUGCUAGGCCACAGGCCGAGCUCAGCGUCCAUGUGACCAGUGAAGAAGCUGGCUGUCCUUUUGCAGGUGAAACCUCAGCCAGGAACAACAGCGACAUCUGAAUGAUUUUGAGCUGCUCACCCAAGAGAUCUACAAACUGUCCCAUCUUAGACCAAGCCUCAGGAGGAAGAUGACAAAGCAGGGACCAAGAGUAGCUGUGUCUGUGCUGUGGUCCCUAGGUGGAGGGGCAGCCACCCUCCCCAGAGCCCAUGGACCCCUCACAAUCCACAGGACUGUGCUGGGCAUGGGUAGGAUGAUGCCUUGGGGAGAACAUCCUGUGGUCUAGCAGGGCCUGCUUUCCUCUGAUGACAGACGCUCAGCAACAGACCGUACCCAAAGCUGUUCACAUCCUCCUUCACGAUCUUCCACGGAGUUCCAGCCGCAGUCCAAAAGGGCUCUAGAAAGCCGGGUGUGAGGAUGUACCCGUAAUCAGCACACCGAGAAGUAGAGGCAGGAGGGACGGAUCAAGGAUGAUGCCAGCCUGGGUUACAUGAGAGUUUGCCUCAAAACACCAAAAACAAACAAAAAAAAAAAAGAAAAAA